UUUAAAAUGCAGGUUUCACCUCUGCUUCUUCUUGAUGUAACGUGCUUUAUGGAUGACACGCAAGCAUCUAAGGGUGAGGCAGCGAUGCAUGUCGGUGAAGAAGGCUGAGGGCAACAUGUGGAACAAGUUGGCUGGGAGUGAAAGCUGUUUCUCAGAAUUCACUGGUGGAGGCUGGUGGAAGUUGAAGGCAGAGGAUGUAGAUGGACGUUCGGGUUGCAGGCGCCUACUAGAAUUGUCAAGUGGAGGUGGAGUUUCAGGUCAACGGCGGGGACCAGAGAUGAAGAUUCAGGAAGCCUGCUAGUAUGGAGUAGACUGAAGGCUGGAGGCUGGACCAAGAAGGAGAUUGAGCAGGUUUCAAGAGCUGUCUUCCAGGAUGACAGGUGGAGGCCAGGGGUGGAGGUGGCUGUGGAGGGCUGAAGGAUUUUAGUUGCUAAAGGAGGCUGUAGAAAGAGGUGUGAACUGCAGCUGGCUGCCACAAACAGCAGGUAGAGGAGACACCUGCAGGAGGAGGCUCCUGCAGUUGACUGGCAAAUACUGGAGGUGGAUAUUGGGCCAGCUCUUUCUGCCAAACACUACAGAUGGAGGAAGCCCCUGUAGUAUACUGGCAGAGGCUGUAGGUGGACGUUUGGCCUCUCAGUGUCUGCCAGUAAAAUGCAGGCGGAGGAGGCUCCCGCAGUUUACUGGCAGAGGUUGUAGGUGGAGGUUUGGCCUCUAGGUGUCUGCCAAACGCUACAGAGGUUUGGUCUGCAGCAGUCUGCCAGAAUAUACAGAAGGGGGACACACCUGCAGUAUAUUGGCAUGGGCUCCAGGUGGAGGUUUGGACUGAAGCAGUCUGCAAGUAAAAUACAGGUGGAGGAGACACCUGCAGUCUACUGCUAGAGGCUUCGGGCUUUAGGUACACACAUUUCAACUGCAAUGAACUGCAGGAGGAGGCUCCUGCAGUUCACUGGCAAAUACUGGAGGUGGAUAUUGGGCCAGCUCUUUCUGCCAAACACUACAGAUGGAGGAAGCCCCUGUAGUAUACUGGCAGAGGCUGUAGGUGGACGUUUGGCCUCUCAGUGUCUGCCAGUAAAAUGCAGGCGGAGGAGGCUCCCGCAGUUUACUGGCAGAGGUUGUAGGUGGAGGUUUGGCCUGCAGACAAAAAGAAGGUGGGCCCUGCAGUUUGCUGGCAGAGGCUGUGGAUUGUAGAUGUUAAGCCGAAUUUUAAAGUGGAGGUGAUUUUCAAGUCAACGGAACGGACCAGAGAUGGGGGUUCAGGAGGCUUGCUUGUCUUUAGAAGGCUGGACACCUCCUUUACUGGCAGGGUGAAGGAUCAGGCCUGGAGUUGGACCAAGCUGAAUUGACAGGUGCAGAUCAGGGAUGGAGGCUGUUAUGGAGUGCCGGCGGAUGAAAGUUGUUGAAAGUGGCCAGGGGAUUUGGUAUGUAAGUCGGCCUGUACAGUGCAGACGGAGGAUGCACCUAAGUUUCGUGGCAGAGGGUGUUGGUGGAGGCUUGGCCUGUAGCUGUCGACCAGUAAAAUGCAGUGGAGGCGGCAUCUGUGGUUUACUGGCAGAGGGUGUGGGUGGAGGUUCUGAAUAAUAUUGUCUGCAACAAUCUGCAGGUGGAGGCAGCACCUGCAGUUUAAUGCCGCAAGCUGUCAGUGGAGGUUUGAGUUUGCAGGUGGAACUGGAUACUUCUGGUAGAGCAUAUUAAAGCAGCUGUCUGCUGCCUGCUAGCGGAGGCUAGGACAGCAGAUGGCUGACAUAAUAUGAAAGUAAGAUUAAGUGCUUUUAAGUGAAAGAAGGUGCUUUGAACAGACCUUUGUUGAGGAUUGCACAGGCACUUCAGAUGCAGUAAGUGGAGAUAAUCGUGUUCCUGUCUUACAGAAUUGGAAGGUUGGAGCAUUAAUACAGAAAUACUAUCAAAUCAAAAAUAUACAACUAAAUACAACUUAAUACAGCUUAAUACAACUUAAUUAUUACAACAUGUAAAUUAUUUUAAUUUAAGUAAGUGAUUUCAAACUCAGAUAAAGUCCUUUCAAAAGAAUAAACAUUCUUAUUUGGAUCAUAGUGUUGAAUAUUACCUGGAGCUUCAGUGUUUCUGUUGCACCACCCAGCUGUCAAACUGGUCCCGCCACUCUAGAUAAAGCCUCAUGUCUAC
Gasterosteus aculeatus aculeatus (three-spined stickleback) is the source of this 2139-nucleotide long non-coding RNA. The record is from Ensembl. NCBI's taxonomy places the organism in Eukaryota, Metazoa, Chordata, Actinopteri, Perciformes, Gasterosteidae.